Long non-coding RNA from Pipra filicauda (Wire-tailed manakin), 1531 nucleotides. RefSeq lists it as uncharacterized. NCBI's taxonomy places the organism in Eukaryota, Metazoa, Chordata, Aves, Passeriformes, Pipridae. The record is from RefSeq and is a predicted model, not a curated record. The transcript is spliced from 2 exons.
UACCAGCAGCAGGGCUUGUUGAAUACUGCUGAAUCAGGAGAUGAGCUGACCUACCAUGUAUUUUGAGGACAUUCCCAGGACACUACAUUGCCUCCAGCAAAUAAAAGAGCUUUUACAGCUCCUCUGGGAGACAGUGGCUUGGGAGAGGAGACCCCUGGCCUGCUGCCAAGCAACCCCUGGCAAAGCGCACCCAAUGAGAUCAUGAGGGCUAAUUCGGCAGAAUGAGGAACUAUUUCGACUGCCCGUCUCGCUGCAGGCUCAAAGCACACUCUGAGAAAGUUUUAUUCAAGAACGGGUUUUAUUUGCAACAACGCAACGCCCGCUGUUCGCAGACGGGGAGCAACAUGGCGGCGGCUCGCAGGGCCCGCUGGGAGCUGUAGUCCUGCGGAGGGCUGGGGCCGCUCCCUCGCCCCGCAGGGAAGGGGGGGUCAGGGUCCUCCUCAGCGUCUCCCAAAGAGGAGGAUUUCCUGCCUCGUCCCUUUCUGCACAGCGCUCUGGGGAACACCGAGGCUCAGGCUGUCCGGAUAAGAGGGGUGCCAGCGUCGGCAGGCGGGCCAGUGCCUGCCCACCGUUCUGUGCAGAGCUUUUCCUGACCCCGUGCGUCAGGAAAAACAAACAACUGGUGUAACCCCAGUUUUACCCCCGUUUGCUGUUACCAGGCAUCUAGUUAUACACUUGCAGCCCAAAAAGAAAGGUGACAGCACUCUAAAGACAUACCCAGUUACUCUGGCAAGAUGUAAUAUGCAUAGCUGGGUUGGUUGCCGUUGUUUGCCCCCUCCCUGAUUUCCAUUAUUUUGCCUGGGAUCGGUGUUAGGGUGGCAGGUGUGUAUUUACCUGGGUCACCUGAGCUGGCCCCGUGCUCAGCCCGCACACGCUGGAGGGGAAAGCACGUCAGCUGAGGGCAGCAGAGACAAGUGGUGCUUCUAAGAUCUCCAGUGUUAUUAUACUUAUAAAUCCUGGUGAAACUUCAACUUACACUUGAGAGAGACGGACAAGGCGAGCAGAAACUUUUCAGCAUUCUGAGGGUAUUUUGGCUUUAAGAGGCUCUCAUCACAUUGCCCAGAUUGGAAUCCCUUAAAACUGUAUAACUUGGUUCCUAAACUUUUAUUCAACAGCCAUCUUCUGAAUGUUCUCUUGUAUGUUUUGUUUGUUAGGAAACAAAAUUAUUUGUUUUGGCGUUGAUCAAGGCAAGAUGAUACAUUAUUUCUGGCAGAGUGAUAUUCUUCUUUUUUGCCCACUCAUUUUUCACAAGUAGUUUUAGUAUUAGGAUCAUGGAAAUUUUCCCAUUAAUGUUAUAGGACACUCAGAGGAAACAGGACAUCUACAGUGAGCGGAGGAGGAGGCAGUUAAAAUCCAAGCACAGCUCAUGAGAAAGAAACAAUAAUUGUUCAAAGAAUAUUGUACUGCAUAACAAUCUUGCUGGAUUGCAGCACAGAGAACACAACUUCCGUGUGUGUGGUUGCACAUUUAAUGAAGCAAUAACCCAGUUGUUCUCUUUCUGAAGUUAAUAAAAAAAUAGCUUGAAAACCAA